UGGGGAAUAUUGCACAAUGGGCGCAAGCCUGACCGAGCAACGCCGCGUGAGUGAAGAAGGUUUUCGGAUCGUAAAACUCUGUUGUUAGAGAAGAACAAGGACGUUAGUAACUGAACGUCCCCUGACGGUAUCUAACCAGAAAGCCACGGCUAACUACGUGCCAGCAGCCGCGGUAAUACGUAGGUGGCAAGCGUUGUCCGGAUUUAUUGGGCGUAAAGCGAGCGCAGGCGGUUUCUUAAGUCUGAUGUGAAAGCCCCCGGCUCAACCGGGGAGGGUCAUUGGAAACUGGGGGACUUGAGUGCAGAAGAGGAGAGUGGAAUUCCAUGUGUAGCGGUGAAAUGCGUAGAUAUAUGGAGGAACACCAGUGGCGAAGGCGGCUCUCUGGUCUGUAACUGACGCUGAGGCUCGAAAGCGUGGGGAGCAAACAGG
This 429-nucleotide ribosomal RNA is filed under the name Chloroflexota bacterium. RNAcentral's name for it is "Chloroflexi bacterium partial 16S ribosomal RNA". It matches the Rfam family "Bacterial small subunit ribosomal RNA", at positions 355 to 776 of the family's 1533-position model. The record is from RNAcentral. Lineage: Bacteria; Bacillati; Chloroflexota.